This is an RNA transcript of Nycticebus coucang (slow loris), 6544 nucleotides long. It is a transcript of the gene named glycosylphosphatidylinositol specific phospholipase D1, with no coding region annotated. The record is from RefSeq and is a predicted model, not a curated record. The transcript is spliced from 28 exons. NCBI's taxonomy places the organism in Eukaryota, Metazoa, Chordata, Mammalia, Primates, Lorisidae.
GCUGCCGGCGCGGGGGCAGAGGAGGCAGCCCGGAGGCGGUGGCCGGAGGAGCGAGGCCGCGGGGCUCCGCAGCCAAAAGCAGAUCGCCAUGGCCCUGACAGCGGCGGCGGCAGGAAGCAGGCAAGCGGGCCCACAGGAGGCUUGAACUUGACACCCUCGGUGUGCCAAGCCUGCACACUAACUACUGAGCUACAGUGGUCACCUGAAAACAGAUUUUUUGAAGAGGAUUUGGAAUUGCAAUAUUAUUUUGUUUCUGCUAAAGGUCAGUGACCUGUUGAGAGAGAAGCAGUGGGUCUGCGCCUGGAUUUCAGAGUCACAGUGCUGCCACGGUGCUGAGCAGCCCGUGAGGAAGGAGAGCAUGUCUGCUUUCAGGCUGUGGCCUGGCCUGCUGAUGGUGCUGGAUUCUCUCUUCCCCCGAGCUUCAUCGUGUGGCCUUUCAACACAUGUCGAAAUAGGACACAGAGCCCUGGAGUUUCUCCAUCUUCAAAAUGGGCGUGUUAACUACAAAGAGCUGUUACUAGAACACCAGGAUGCGUAUCAGGCUGGAACCGUGUUUCCUGAUUCUUUUUACCCUGACAUCUGUAAAGGAGGAAAAUUCCACAGUGUGUCUGAAAGCACUCACUGGACUCCGUUCCUUAAUGCAAGCAUUCAUUACAUCCGAGACAAAUAUCCUCUUCCCUGGGAGAAGGAUACAGAGAAACUGGUGGCUUUCUUGUUUGGAAUUACCUCUCACAUGGUGGCAGAUGUCAGCUGGCAUAGCUUGGGUAUUGAGCAAGGAUUCCUUAGGACGAUGGGAGCUAUUGAUUUUCAAGGCUCUUAUUCUGAGGCUCAUUCAGCUGGGGAUUUUGGAGGAGAUGUGUUGAGCCAGUUUGAAUUUAAUUUUAAUUACCUUGCACGACACUGGUAUGUGCCUGUCAAAGAUCUACUGGGAAUUUAUGAGAAACUGUAUGGUCACCAAGCCAUCACCAAAGAUGUAAUUGUUGAGUGUUCUUACCUUCAGUUCUUGGAAAUGCAUGGUGAAAUGUUGGCUGUUUCCAAGCUUUAUCCCACUUACUCUACCAAGUCCCCAUUUUUGGUAGAACAAUUCCAAGAGUAUUUCCUUGGAGGACUGGACGAUAUGGCAUUUUGGACCACUAAUAUUUAUCGUCUGACAAGCUUUAUGCUAGAGAACGGGACCAGUGGCUGCAAUCUACCUGAGAACCCUCUGUUCAUUACAUGCAGUGGCCAGAAAAACACUACCCAGGGCUCAAAAGUGCAGAAAAAUGACUUUCACAGAAAUUUGACAGCAUCCCUAACUAAAGAUAUUGAAAGAAACUUAAACUAUACUGACAGAGGAGUGUUCUUCAGUGUGGAUUCCUGGACACCGGAUUCUGUAUCCUUUAUGUACCAGGCGUUGGAAAGGAACCUAAGGACGAUGUUUACAGCUGGUUCUCAGGAGUCACAGAAGUAUGUUUCCACUCCCAUAGCGUCUUACUUCCUGUCAGUUCCCUACGCAAGGCUUGGGUGGACAAUGACCUCGGCUGACCUCAACCAGGAUGGGUACGCUGACCUUAUAGUGGGUGCACCGGGUUAUAGCCGCACCGGCCACGUGCAGAUUGGGCGUGUGUACCUCGUCUAUGGCAGUGACCUUGGCCUGCCCCCUGUUGACCUGGACCUAGACAAGGAGGCCAGUGAGAUCCUCGAGGGGUUCCAGCCCUCAGGUCGUUUUGGCUCGGCCUUGGCUGUGUUGGACUUUAACAAGGAUGGUGUUCCUGACCUGGCCAUGGGAGCUCCCUCGGUGGCCUCCGAGCAGCUCACUUACAAGGGUGCUGUGUACAUCCACUUUGGUUCCAAACAAGGGAGAAUGUCUUCUUCCCCUAACAUCACCAUCUCUUGCCAGGCCGUCUACUGUAACUUGGGCUGGACACUCCUGGCUGCAGAUGUCAAUGGAGACAGCAGGCCCGAUCUGGUGAUUGGCUGCCCUUUUGCACCAGGUGGAGGGAAACAGAGGGGAAUUGUGGCAGCAUUUUAUUCUGGCCCCAGCCAGAGCAACAAAGCAAAGCUGGACGUGGAGGCAGCCGACUGGAUGGUGCGAGGUGGGGAGGACUUCGCCUGGUUUGGAUACUCCCUUCACAGCGCUGGUGUAGAUGACAGAACCUUACUGCUGGUGGGCAGCCCAACCUGGAAGAAAACCAGCAGUGUGCUUCAUUCUAAGCUGGGCCAUUUGUUCCACAGUGGUGAUGAGAAGAGCCUUGGGAGGGUGUAUGGCUACUUCCCCCCAAAUUGCCAAAGCUGGUUUACCAUUUCUGGAGAUAAGGCAAUGGGGAAACUGGGCACUUCCCUGUCUAGUGGCCACGUAAUGAUGAAUGAGACGCUGACACAGGUGCUGCUGGUUGGGGCACCAACUCGAGAUGAUGUGUCUAAAAUGGCCUUCCUGACCAUGACCUUGCAUCAGGGUGGAACCACACGGAUGUAUGGGCUCACAUCUGACACACAGCCUUCCCUGCUCAGCACCUUCAGUGGAGACCGCCGCUUCUCUCGAUUUGGUGGAGUUCUUCACUUAAGUGACCUGGAUAAUGAUGGCUUAGAUGAAGUCAUCAUGGCAGCCCCACUGAGGAUAGCAGAUAUAACUUCUGGACUGAUUGGGGGAGAAGAUGGUCGUGUUUAUAUAUAUAAUGGCAAACAGAUCACCCUUGGUGACGUAACAGGCAAAUGCAAGUCAUGGAUAACUCCAUGCCCAGAAGAAAAGGCCCAAUAUGUAUUGAUUUCUCCAGAAGCAAGCUCAAGGUUUGGGAGCUCCCUGAUAAGCGUGAAGUCCAAGCAAAAGAACCAAGUUGUUGUUGCUGCUGGAAGGAGUUCCUGGGGAGCUCGACUCUCUGGAGCACUUCACGUCUAUACCCUUGGCUCAAGUUAAAGAUUUCACUCCUGUUUUCCCACUCGGCCUCUCCCUCUCAACACGCUCAGUCAUCUCCAGGAUGAGCAUUCUCGUGGACAGAUUGGCACAUCCAUUGCAGCUAUGGUACAUCCUGAACACAGAGACAGCUGCUUUAACAGUUGAUGAACCUGGUGAUUCUCCACUAGUUUUAAGUCAUCUCACGAAGGGCCUUUGUUGCAUUUGGCUGCCACAAUUGUGCCAACAGAACCAGAGCAAAAAGGAGAUCUGGCCUGAGCCAAAGGCUACUGCAAGGGACCAACUAAGUGAGACACCAACAGGAGGAAGCAGGUAUUUUUGGCAUCACCUGAUCCUGGGCUUUUUUUUAGUAGGGUAGAUUUCAUCUGCCAGUUUGACAGUGUGGCACAUUUAAGGGGAAACAAUGUAGCAUAGAGUUUUAGCAUCACUAAAAAUUUACAGUCAUCAUUAUCUGUAUAUAGUAACUAGCCUAUUUUGUAUCAAUCACGGAAGAACCUCUUUCCUGUGACACUGGUGAAGUGAUACUAAAAACAGGAGAAAAUAACAAAUGACAAUAGCCUUCUCUUUUCAGCUUCUGUAGAGGUAAAGACUAGUGAAAAGGAGACAGAAGAGGAAUCAAGCUGAAGUGUAGAAAGUUAAUUAGAAUCCAAGGAAAAGCCGGGUCCCAUGGCACACACCUAAUCCUAGCACUCUGGGAGGCUGAGGCAGGUGGAUUGCUUCAGCUCAGGAGUUCAAGACCAGCUUGAGCCAGCGUGAGACCCUGUCUCUGGAAAAAAAAAAAUAGCUAGACAUUGUGGUAGGCACCUGUAGUCCCACCUACUCAGGAGGCUGAUGCAAGAGGAUCACUUGAGUCUAAGAGUUUGAGGUUGCUAUGAGUUAUGAAGCCACAGCGCUCUACCAAGAGUGACAAAAUGAGACUCUGUCUAAAAAAAAAUAAUAAUAAAAAAAACCCUUUAUACAUACCUUUACAAAUACCUGUAUGUGUAUUUGUCUCAAUGCCUGAACAUACCAGAUAACAAGCACCAGACAGAGAAAGCUAAAGUUAAACCUAUAAAGGAGACAAAUUUCCAAGUUUAUAGAGUAUUUAGCAAUACUCAUCCCAGUGUCAGAAACAAUGUAAAUUAUUCUCCUAGUGUUAAAAGUCAACCUAUCUGGCAAAAUGGGGGAAAAAAAUGGGGAACUAGUGUUAUACUCCUAGUGUUAAAGGUUAACCUAUCUGGCAAAUAUGCAGACAUGUGGAAAAAAAAAUGAUAGUUUUUAGACUGUAUUAUCCCAAUAGGUGGACUAACUUCGUUUUAUGAGGUAUAAACUAUAUAGCUCUAAGCAUUGAUUCUGAAAUGCUUAGUAACUAAAAUGUAAAUACCUUGUAAAUUUUAGUAACCAAAAUUUAUCAUUAGCGUAAGUCUGAAUGUACAUAACAGUUUAAUUCAAAUUUAUCUUUAUUUCAAGAUACCAGAACACAUUUACAUCCUUGCUUGUUUCUAUCUGUAUAUGUAACAACUUUCUUCAAAGUUUCAAGAUCACAAUCAUUUUAUGCCCUUGUAUCACAGACCUAAAAGAUGAGAAUGACUUCAAGAUAGUUUGGCAACAACCUCAGAUCUCUGGAGUCCCUAUUCCAUGCACCACCAUUCAUUAGAUCACUUGUGUAUUACUAAUGUACUGAAAGUGAACCCUAAAUUCAAAAUGUGAAUUUAAUAUUUCAAUUCCAAAAAAAUAAACUUGUGUAAAACUCUUGGUAUAACUCACCAAAAUAAAUAGCUUUUUAAUAUAAAGCUUAGUGUUAAUAGCAUUUUCAAAUGACAUUUGUUUUGCCUGCCUUUCUUAGAGGCCUUCCAAAGACAAAGUCAGGCUGCUAAGAGUUUCACACCUUACACCUGACAUGUCCACUCACUCACAUAACCCACUAUUUGGUGUUUUACCACUUUACUUUCAAAUAGUAAAGUGCUCAGUGUAUUAUUUUAGUUCAAAAUUUAAAAGCAAUUUAUUAUUUAUAACUUUAAUGUCAGAAGCAUCCUGCAAUCACAAAAAUGAGCUACUUGACAUUUUGAAAUAAUACCUCAUCUAAGAAUUUAUUGAACCACUAAUGAAUUGCCAUUAUCAGACUAUAAUGUAGUUACAUCAUUUUUCCUUUUAUUAAUGAACAUGAUUCAUCAAAAAAAUUAUUUUAUCCAAGCUCAUAAACUAAGUAACACUAUAAGGAUCAAAUGACCAAAAUUCUAUUCUAUGCCUGAUCUUAGUUAUCAAGUUUUGCCCUCUGAGAUUCCAAUUCUUCAAGUCACAGUGAAAUAGUAUUUAUUACCUUUAUUACAGUGUUUUAACAGAACAAAAAUAGCAGCAAAAUACUCUGAGGUGUGCCAAAAAGUGGCCUGUGAAGUCUAAGUAUUAUCAAAGAUAGUCUUGAAAAUCAUCAGAUGCAUAAUGCUAAACUGUGCUUAUAUUUACAGUCCAACAAACAAAUCAUAGGGUGUGUUCCUGACCCACCGUGCAGUGCACGAGGCCAGUCUGUGCUCCAAGUCUGUUUGUUUCAUGCUAUUCUGCUUCCAGCUUCCCUCCAGUGGGUCUCAUAACCACGAGAGUGGGAAAAACUUUACUUGCAACAUCUUAUGUUUUCUUCCAAAUCAGUUACUGGAGUAAUAUUAUUCCAUUACCAAACCACCUGGAAAAUGGACCCCUAAACUUCCUCAUACUACAUAGCAUAAGGGUAAUCUGGUACCCUUACCAUCAGGGUAGGCAUAUUUAUCCUCUUAUUACCACACAGUUGUAGGGCAAGAGCUUCUCUAGAUACUCUAGGAUCUUCUAUGCAUGCCAGUUUUGGUGCAAGUUUAAAUGUCCUAGUGCAUAACUGUACUCAACCUCCAGAAAAAAUUUUAAAAGGUAGGUAAGACAGCAGCUUUCACUUGUAAUUACACAAAUCUCUGACUGUGGCAACAAAAAGCUAUCACAAUUCUAACAUUUAUCUACCCUCUUGUUUUAGGAAACCCAUCUGUCAACUUUUGAGGUAUAGCAUAUAGAUUAGCUUAAUAUACAUUUUCCUUUACAGGGGCGUAAAAAUAUGCACUGAUAAUCAGUAAAUGCACAAGGCAGCCAUAACCAGUAACUGAAUGGAAAAUGCUUCCUUUCUACUUUACUUCCAAAGGCUCUAAUUAUAGCCAAGCAAAGAAAAAUGGUUUCAAGGGUCAAGAAAGUGGUAUCUUGAUUAACUGGAAUCGUACAGUGCAGAUAUUAAAUUAUCAUUUCUUCACCUUACAUAUAAAAGAUGGAAAAUACAAAAAUAUAAGGUAUGUCAAGGAUUGACUUUUAAAGCACAAACUUCCAGAGUUUAGGGUUAAUGCAUAUACUUGUUAUGCUAGCUUUUCAGUCACCUGAGAUCAUUCCCUGUACUAACAAAAAACCACGGUCACCGCUAUGUAUUUGUCGAGUUCCUCAGCUUCAUUCAGUAUGAAACUGAACUUUUCCUAAUAUGUACAAACUAAAUGAAAUCUGUACAAGUCUGUUCUUCAUGUUAAACCUCUUCAUGUCUUACAUCAUGUCUAUAAAAACAGCAUUUAAAGUUUGUAGGAAACAGAUUUUGGGCCUUUUACAAAGCAAGCACUUUGCUGCUUUAAAUCGGAAUUCCAGAAAUGCAAUAAAGUUCUAGUAUUGUGAAUGCCAUAA